CGUCCCAGCAUGCCCUAAGCUCCUUAGGGUAUCCCAACAUGCCUGAGGAGAGGAUGUCCCAACAUGCCCCAGGCUCCUUGGAGAGGGCGUCCCAACAUGCCCCAUACUUCUUGGAGAUGGUAUCCCAGAAUGCCCCAGGAGAGGGUGUCCCAGCAUGCCCCAGACUCUUUGGAGAGGAUGUCCCAGCAUGCCUGAGGAGAGGAUGUCCCAGCAUGCCCCAGGCUCCUUGGAGAGGAUGUCCCAGCAUGCCCUAGGCUCCUUACAGUAUCCCAACGUGCCUGAGGACAGGGUGUCCCAGCAUGCCCCAGAUUCCUUAGAGUGUCCCAACAUGCCCAAGGAAAGGGUGUCCCAGCAUGCCCCAGACUCCUUGGAAUAGAAUGUCCCAGUGUGUCCCAGACUCUAGAGAUGAACUCCCAGUGUGCCCCAGGCUCCUUGGAGAGGACGUCCCAGCAUGCCCCAGAUUCCUUGGAGAGAAUGUCUUAGCAUACCCCAGGAGAGGAUGUCCCUGCAUGCACCCAGACAUGCAUCAGACGCUCCUGAGUGCACGUGUCUUACCAGGGCAUUCAGAAUACUUGCCACUUCCUGCUUAUUAGGCCCGCGGAGGUUAUCAGCGAGCGGACGGUUGUGUUUUUCUGGGCAUUGGUCAGUCUACACUGGGACAGAGCCACAAAGCUGACGUGGUCCAGAGCAAAGCGCACAUACUGUUCAUCUCACACGGGCAUCUCGAACUGUCGGCAGGGCCGGUCCUCCUGAGCCUUCUCCCUGGCGUGUGGGGGGCGUCCCCUCCCCGUGUCUUCACGUGGUCUCCCUCCCAGUGCCCGUCUGUGCCCCUGGUCACCCCUUCUUGUGGGGACACCAGUCAGCCUGGAUCGGGGGCCCCAGGGCCCUCCUUUACCUCAGUCACCUCCACAAAGGCCCGCCUCCGAGUACAGUCACCCUGCGGCCCUGGGGGUGGGACUCAGCAGGUGGCUCUGGGGACACGGCUCAGCCCAGCACGUGACCGUG
This 1005-nucleotide long non-coding RNA is filed under the name Lynx pardinus (Iberian lynx). The record is from RNAcentral. Lineage: Eukaryota; Metazoa; Chordata; Mammalia; Carnivora; Felidae.